Molecule: long non-coding RNA, 544 nt
Organism: Tachysurus fulvidraco (yellow catfish)
Lineage: Eukaryota; Metazoa; Chordata; Actinopteri; Siluriformes; Bagridae
Exons: 3
Source: RefSeq, a predicted model, not a curated record
GUGAGUGAACGAGAACGAGUGCGGGAGAGGGGGCACGCCAAAUAAAACAGUUGUGGUGGCAAUUGAAUUUGUAUUCACAGUAAAGUAGGUUAACCCAGUUAAAAGUCAGAAAUCCAAUUGCAGCUGCAGAUCUACACGGCUGUGGCGGCGGAUCUCCUGGGGUUUGGGAAUGUUCCUCUCAUUCACCCUGGUUUGAAAACGUCACACUGUAUCAGCACGCUAUGAACGUGUUCGCCAGAGUGGCGUGUUUUGGUCCAGCGUGCUGGGCUGCUGGCAGACUGGGCAGUGGACAGGAUUGUCAGAGCAUGUCUCAUACCUCUCUUUGUGCACUGCAGCCCAGGGCAGAAGAGUCAACCUGGCCUUGACACUAUGUGAUGCUAAUCCUCUCAUAUCCCCCAAUGAGGGCAAGGAUGAGUGGAAAGAUGAUGUGUGGACAAAGAGAGAUGGAGGAGAGCGAGAGCAUACGGUUGGAUAAUGACUUCACAACACUGAGGACAUCAAGAGCCAUGUCUGUUCAUUAAAAUAAAGAAACCAGAGCAUGAAA